GGUUGUCUGGCCGAGUGGUCCAAGGCGCACGCUUCAGGCGCGUGUCCGAAAGGGCGUGGGUUCGAUCCCCACGGCAACCA
Tritrichomonas foetus is the source of this 80-nucleotide transfer RNA. It matches the Rfam family "tRNA". From Rfam's summary of the family: Transfer RNA (tRNA) molecules are approximately 80 nucleotides in length. NCBI's taxonomy places the organism in Eukaryota, Parabasalia, Tritrichomonadida, Tritrichomonadidae. The record is from Rfam.